This is a small nuclear RNA of Fukomys damarensis (Damara mole-rat), 108 nucleotides long. NCBI's taxonomy places the organism in Eukaryota, Metazoa, Chordata, Mammalia, Rodentia, Bathyergidae. The record is from Ensembl.
GUGCUUGCUUCGGCAGCACAUAUACUAACUAAAAUUGGGAUGAUACAGAGAAGAUUAGCAUGGCCCCUGCACAAGGAUAUGCAAAUUCAUGAAGCGUUCCAUAUUUUG